AUAGUUCCGGAUAUUCUUGGACCAUCGUUCACAAGUUUUUCUGUUUACGCUCCUGGCGUUUCAUUCAGCGGUCACUUCAGGUAGAACAAUUUGAUUGAAAGCUCUAACCCUGCGGCCAGAAGGUGGAACUACUGUGCCUUUGCAGAAACUCUACAUGAAGCUUAUCCACGAAUGGUAUGGAAAGAAAAGGAACUUCAGCAGCUUGGAUGGAUUGGGUUCAUGCGUUCAGUCAGCAGCUCAAGAAAGACCCGGAAAUUGCGAAUUAAACCACGUUUUGCACUGACCUCUAACACUUCUGAACAAACAACUGAUAUCUCGUGCGCUGAAGCACAGCGUGAGC
Molecule: long non-coding RNA, 340 nt
Organism: Rhipicephalus sanguineus (brown dog tick)
Lineage: Eukaryota; Metazoa; Arthropoda; Arachnida; Ixodida; Ixodidae
Exons: 3
Source: RefSeq, a predicted model, not a curated record